ACCUUACCCAGACUUGACAUGCAGUAGACCGGUCCAGAAAUGGACCUUUCCUUCGGGACUGCUGCACAGGUGCUGCAUGGCUGUCGUCAGCUCGUGCCGUGAGGUGUUGGGUUAAGUCCCGCAACGAGCGCAACCCUUAUCAUUAGUUGCCAACAUUUAAGGUGGGGAACUCUAAUGAGACUGCCUGGGUUAACCAGGAGGAAGGUGAGGAUGACGUCAAGUCCGCAUGGCCCUUAUGUCUGGGGCUACACACGUGCUACAAUGGUCGGUACAGAAGGCAGCGAAACCGCGAGGUGAAGCAAAUCCCGAAAACCGGCCUCAGUUCAGAUUGUAGUCUGCAACUCGACUACAUGAAGACGGAAUUGCUAGUAAUGGCGAGUCAGCAACAUCGCCGUGAAUACGUUCCCGGGUC
This 412-nucleotide ribosomal RNA is filed under the name uncultured bacterium. RNAcentral describes it as "bacterial SSU rRNA". It matches the Rfam family "Bacterial small subunit ribosomal RNA", at positions 968 to 1380 of the family's 1533-position model. The record is from RNAcentral.